RNAcentral lists this transfer RNA (74 nucleotides) under Chloroflexota bacterium. RNAcentral's name for it is "tRNA-Lys". It matches the Rfam family "tRNA". Rfam says of the family: Transfer RNA (tRNA) molecules are approximately 80 nucleotides in length. Their secondary structure includes four short double-helical elements and three loops (D, anti-codon, and T loops). The record is from RNAcentral. RNAcentral also lists the same sequence under 1 other name. Lineage: Bacteria; Bacillati; Chloroflexota.
GGGCCGGUAGCUCAGCCCGGUAGAGCAACGGACUUUUAAUCCGUGUGUCCAGGGUUCGAAUCCCUGUCGGCCCA